This 76-nucleotide small nuclear RNA is filed under the name Homo sapiens (human). RNAcentral's name for it is "partial ncRNA". Lineage: Eukaryota; Metazoa; Chordata; Mammalia; Primates; Hominidae. The record is from RNAcentral.
AGAUUGCUUGGACCCAGGAGGUUGAGGCUGCAGUGAGCCAAGAUUGCACCACUGCACUCCAGCUUGGGUGACAAAG